RNAcentral lists this ribosomal RNA (703 nucleotides) under uncultured archaeon. RNAcentral's name for it is "bacterial SSU rRNA". It matches the Rfam family "Archaeal small subunit ribosomal RNA", at positions 77 to 782 of the family's 1478-position model. The record is from RNAcentral.
CUCGGCGAACUGCUCAGUAACACGUGGAUAAUUUGCCCUUAGGUGGAGGAUAACCUCGGGAAACUGAGAAUAAUACUCCAUAGAUCUAGGAUGCUGGAAUGCACUUAGAUUAAAAGCUCCGGCGCCUAAGGAUAAGUCUGCGGACUAUCAGGUUGUAGUCAGGGUAAAGACCUGACUAGCCUACAACGGAUACGGGUUGUGAGAGCAAUAACCCGGAGACGAUAUCUGAGACACGAUAUCGGGCCCUACGGGGCGCAGCAGGCGCGAAACCUUCGCACUGUGCGAAAGCGCGAUGAGGGGAUCCCAAGUGCUUGCUCGUAAGAGUAAGCUGUUUUUAUGUCUAAAAAGCAUAGAGAGUAAGGGCUGGGUAAGACGGGUGCCAGCCGCCGCGGUAAUACCUGCAGCUCAAGUGGUGAUCAUUAUUAUUGGGCCUAAAACGUCCGUAGCCGGUUUGGUAAAUGCCUGGGUAAAUCGUGUAGCUUAACUAUACGAAUUCCGGGUAGACUGCCAAACUUGAGACCGGGAGAGGCUAGAGGUACUCCUGGGGUAGAGGUGAAAUUCUGUAAUCCUAGGGGGACCACCAGUGGCGAAGGCGUCUAGCUAGAACGGGUCUGACGGUCAGGGACGAAGCCCUGGGGCGCGAACCGGAUUAGAUACCCGGGUAGUCCAGGGUGUAAACGCUGCUUGCUUGAUGUUAGUUGGG